Long non-coding RNA from Alnus glutinosa, 659 nucleotides. RefSeq lists it as uncharacterized. The record is from RefSeq and is a predicted model, not a curated record. The transcript is spliced from 2 exons. Lineage: Eukaryota; Viridiplantae; Streptophyta; Magnoliopsida; Fagales; Betulaceae.
AUGUCUUUUUUUUUUCGUUUUUUUUUUAACAAAAAAAGGGUUGAAAACGCAGGGGUCGACUUUAUGGUUCAUUUUCAAAAUUUUCCCCAUUUCCCAAAUCUCUCCCUCUCAAUCCUCCCCUCCCGCACCGAUCGACUGCCGCCCAACGGCCGACACCGUCCGGCCCUCUCAGACCACCGCAGGCCACCGAUCUCCACCAGCAGACCGUCGAUCCCAGACGAACGGCGCCCACGACCCAUCUCCAUCUCUUCCGACCGACACCUUCCCGGCAAGACUCUCCCUCGGACCGGCGACCCAUUUCUCUCGGAGAUCUACUGACCACCGUCCCCCUCUCCCACCUUCCUAGCGUCGCUUUGGUUUAUGAAUACUGAUUUCCGGACUCUCUCUUGGACCCAGCAGACCGGGUGCUCUCCGACCAGGAGUAACACCAAAGACAGCUUGAGGUGUGUGGAGGGCAGGUUCAUGUUCCAUGAAGAGGUGUUGGGGUCAAAAUAGAGCCACUCAAAGAAAUUCAGUUUGGCCAAGUUGAACUGGAAGGCCUCAGAUCAAAACUUUUGUGCAACUGCUUGCAUAUGAGAAUUGAAAUAUCUCCUAGUGGAUUAUUUCUUCUUUGUAGAUUUAUACCUCAUUUGUGGUAAUGAUCAUGACCAUGUUUGUGA